This 426-nucleotide long non-coding RNA is filed under the name Homo sapiens (human). Its description in RNAcentral is "non-protein coding lnc-TMEM206-5:16". The record is from RNAcentral. Lineage: Eukaryota; Metazoa; Chordata; Mammalia; Primates; Hominidae.
GAAGCGCUCCUCCACCAGCGGGCAUUUUUGCGCUCACGCGCGACUGCUCCAGGCUGUCAUUGCUCUCCUGACCGUCUACGAGAAGACUGGGAAACUUGAGAGGGAUUCCCCAGGAUCAACCAUCUGAGCAGAUACCUUGGAAUGUCCCCAGAUUUCAGAGAAUUCCAAAGAAGAUAGAAAUGGAGUUAGGAAGGAGAUUUUUGCCCUCCUGGCUCUUGUCUUCCUUCUCCACUUCAAGUGAAAGGACAGGGCCGGGAGUCAUGCCUCCCCAGGCGUGAGGCGUGUGUGGGCUGUAUCCCAGAGGAGAUUUUCUUUGCCAAUUGUGGAAUGAAGACUGUAUCAAAGUUCAGAGGAUCCGCCAACACAGAAGAGAGAAACACCAGAUGCUUGGGGCCUCUAAGCAGAAGGAGCAACCCACCAAUCCCA